RNAcentral lists this ribosomal RNA (459 nucleotides) under uncultured Methanolinea sp. RNAcentral's name for it is "bacterial SSU rRNA". It matches the Rfam family "Archaeal small subunit ribosomal RNA", at positions 879 to 1338 of the family's 1478-position model. Lineage: Archaea; Methanobacteriati; Methanobacteriota; Methanomicrobia; Methanomicrobiales; Methanoregulaceae. The record is from RNAcentral.
CCACAACGGGUGGAGCCUGCGUUUAAUUGGACUCAACGCCGGGCAGCUCACCGGAUAAGACAGCUGGAUGAUAGCCGGGCUGAAGACUCUGCUUGACUAGCUGAGAGGAGGUGCAUGGCCGUCGUCAGUUCGUACUGUGAAGCAUCCUGUUAAGUCAGGCAACGAGCGAGACCCACGCCAACAGUUGCCAGCAUGUCCUCCGGGAUGAUGGGGACACUGUUGGGACCGCCUCUGCUAAAGAGGAGGAAGGAAUGGGCAACGGUAGGUCAGCAUGCCCCGAAUUAUCCGGGCUACACGCGGGCUACAAUGGUCAGGACAAUGGGUAUCGACACCGAGAGGUGGAGGCAAUCUCCUAAACCUGUCCUUAGUUCGGAUUGUGGGCUGCAACUCGCCCACAUGAAGCUGGAAUCCGUAGUAAUCGCGUUUCAAAAUAGCGCGGUGAAUAUGUCCCUGCUCCUU